CCUACGGGAGGCAGCAGUGGGGAAUAUUGGGCAAUGGGCGCAAGCCUGACCCAGCAACGCCGCGUGAAGGAAGAAGGCUUUCGGGUUGUAAACUUCUUUUGUCAGGGACGAAGCAAGUGACGGUACCUGACGACUAAGCAACGGCUAACUACGGGCCAGAAGCCGCGGUAAGACGUAGGUGGCAAGCGUUAUCAGGAUUUACUUGGUGUAAAGGGCGAGUAGGCGGAACUGCAAGUCAGAUGUGAAAAAGACGGGUUCAAACUGUGGCCUGCAGUUGAAACUGUAGGUCUUGAGUAAUGGAGAGGAAGACAGAAUUCCUGGUGUAGCGGUGAAAUGCGGAGAUAUUAAGAUGAACACCAGUGGCGAAGGCGGUCUGCUGGACAGCAACUGACGCUGAGGCGCGAAAGCGUGGGGAGCAAACAGGAUUAGAUACCCUAGUAGUC
This 443-nucleotide ribosomal RNA is filed under the name uncultured bacterium. RNAcentral's name for it is "partial 16S ribosomal RNA". It matches the Rfam family "Bacterial small subunit ribosomal RNA", at positions 338 to 795 of the family's 1533-position model. The record is from RNAcentral.